RNAcentral lists this ribosomal RNA (440 nucleotides) under uncultured bacterium. RNAcentral's name for it is "partial 16S ribosomal RNA". It matches the Rfam family "Bacterial small subunit ribosomal RNA", at positions 338 to 795 of the family's 1533-position model. The record is from RNAcentral.
CCUACGGGUGGCAGCAGUGGGGAAUAUUGGACAAUGGGGGAAACCCUGAUCCAGCGACGCCGCGUGAGUGAAGAAGUAUUUCGGUACGUAAAGCUCUAUCAGUAGGAAAGCAAAUGACGGUACCUGACUAAGAAGCCCCAGCUACCUCCGUGCCUGCAGCAGCGGUAAAACGAAGGGGGCAAGCGUUAGCCGGAUUGAAUGGGGGUAAAGGGAGCGUAGACGGCAGCGCAAGUCUGGAGUGAAAGGGCGGGGCCCAACCCCGGAACUGCACAGGAAACUGUGAAGCUGGAGUGAAGGAGAGGUAAGCGGAAUUCCUGGUGUAGCGGUGAAAUGCGUAGAUAUCAGGAGGAACACCGGCGGCGAAGGCGGCUUACUGGACUGUAACUGACGUUGAGGCUCGAAGGCGUGGGGAGCGAACGGGAUUAGAUACCCCAGUAGUC